Molecule: ribosomal RNA, 279 nt
Filed under: Staphylococcus pseudintermedius
Lineage: Bacteria; Bacillati; Bacillota; Bacilli; Caryophanales; Staphylococcaceae
Description: partial 16S ribosomal RNA
Rfam family: Bacterial small subunit ribosomal RNA
Source: RNAcentral
CCUAUAAGACUGGAAUAACUCCGGGAAACCGGGGCUAAUGCCGGAUAACAUGUUGAACCGCAUGGUUCUACAGUGAAAGACGGUCUUGCUGUCACUUAUAGAUGGACCCGCGCCGUAUUAGCUAGUUGGUGGGGUAACGGCCUACCAAGGCGACGAUACGUAGCCGACCUGAGAGGGUGAUCGGCCACACUGGAACUGAGACACGGUCCAGACUCCUACGGGAGGCAGCAGUAGGGAAUCUUCCGCAAUGGGCGAAAGCCUGACGGAGCAACGCCGCGU